RNAcentral lists this transfer RNA (71 nucleotides) under Yoonia ponticola. RNAcentral's name for it is "tRNA-Arg". Lineage: Bacteria; Pseudomonadati; Pseudomonadota; Alphaproteobacteria; Rhodobacterales; Paracoccaceae. RNAcentral also lists the same sequence under 1 other name. The record is from RNAcentral.
GAAGGAAUAACGCUAUGAACGGUUCCCUCCUAAGGGGCAGGUUAUUGGUUCGAAUCCAAUCGGGGUCACCA